RNAcentral lists this ribosomal RNA (253 nucleotides) under uncultured bacterium. RNAcentral's name for it is "partial 16S ribosomal RNA". It matches the Rfam family "Bacterial small subunit ribosomal RNA", at positions 524 to 776 of the family's 1533-position model. The record is from RNAcentral.
UACAGAGGUCCCGAGCGUUGUUCGGAUUCAUUGGGCGUAAAGGGUGCGUAGGCGGCUGGGUAAGUUUGAUGUGAAAUCCUGGGGCUCAACCCUGGAACUGCAUUGAAUACUGCUCGGCUAGAGUACUGGAGAGGAAACUGGAAUUCACGGUGUAGCAGUGAAAUGCGUAGAUAUCGUGAGGAAGACCAGUGGCGAAGGCGAGUUUCUGGACAGUUACUGACGCUGAGGCACGAAGACCAGGGGAGCAAACGGG